GGCUACAAUGGUCGGGACAAUGGGUUCCUACCCCGAGAGGGGACGGUAAUCUCAGAAACCCGGUCGUAGUUCGGAUUGUGGGCUGAAACUCGCCCACAUGAAGCUGGAUUCGGUAGUAAUCGCGUGUCACAAGCGCGCGGUGAAUACGUCCCUGCUCCUUGCACACACCGCCCGUCAAAGCACCCGAGUGAGGUCCGGAUGAGGCCUGGGUUGCCAGGUCGAAUCUGGGCUUCGCAAGGGGGCUUAAGUCGUAACAAGGUAGCCGUAGGGGAAUCUGCGGCUGGAUCACCUCCA
RNAcentral lists this ribosomal RNA (294 nucleotides) under Halobaculum saliterrae. RNAcentral describes it as "partial 16S ribosomal RNA". It matches the Rfam family "Archaeal small subunit ribosomal RNA", at positions 1179 to 1478 of the family's 1478-position model. The record is from RNAcentral. Lineage: Archaea; Methanobacteriati; Methanobacteriota; Halobacteria; Halobacteriales; Haloferacaceae.